AUUCCAUGUGUAGCGGUGAAAUGCGCAGAGAUAUGUAGGAACACCAGUGGCGAAGGCGACUUUCUGGUCUGUAACUGACGCUGAUGUGCGAAAGCGUGGGGAUCAAACAUGAUUAGAUACCCUGGUAGUCCACGCCGUAAACGAUGAGUGCUAAGUGUUAGGGGGUUUACGCCCCUUAGUGCUGCAGCUAACGCAUUAAGCACUCCGCCUGGGGAGUACGACCGCAAGGUU
This 231-nucleotide ribosomal RNA is filed under the name Staphylococcus aureus. RNAcentral describes it as "partial 16S ribosomal RNA". It matches the Rfam family "Bacterial small subunit ribosomal RNA", at positions 666 to 895 of the family's 1533-position model. The record is from RNAcentral. Lineage: Bacteria; Bacillati; Bacillota; Bacilli; Caryophanales; Staphylococcaceae.